UGUACGAGGUCCCAAUUUCAAUCUCUGGUACCUCCUAAAAAAAUCAGUGUUCAAAAGACAGUACCAUAGAAAUUCAGUAUCUGACAUCAUUGGUUUUCUCGACUUUGUGCAUGUUAAAGUUGAUAUUUCUAUUGAUACAGUG
Molecule: small nucleolar RNA, 142 nt
Filed under: Dasypus novemcinctus (nine-banded armadillo)
Lineage: Eukaryota; Metazoa; Chordata; Mammalia; Cingulata; Dasypodidae
Description: Small nucleolar RNA SNORA8 (ENSDNOG00000034086.1)
Rfam family: Small nucleolar RNA SNORA8
About the family: ACA8 is a member of the H/ACA class of snoRNA that guide the sites of modification of uridines to pseudouridines.
Source: RNAcentral